This 66-nucleotide transfer RNA is filed under the name Moniliformis sp. XH-2020. RNAcentral describes it as "tRNA-Tyr". The record is from RNAcentral. Lineage: Eukaryota; Metazoa; Acanthocephala; Archiacanthocephala; Moniliformida; Moniliformidae.
GGUUGAUUGUCCGAUUUAGGUGUAAUACUGUAGAUAUUAUUAUUUUAUCAGCUAUAGGAAUGAUAA